This 308-nucleotide unclassified non-coding RNA is filed under the name uncultured Ascomycota. RNAcentral describes it as "sequence contains ITS1". The stretch from base 1 to 105 matches the Rfam family "5.8S ribosomal RNA", at positions 50 to 154 of the family's 154-position model. Lineage: Eukaryota; Fungi; Ascomycota. The record is from RNAcentral.
GAAAUGCAAUAAGUAAUAUAAAUUGCAGAAUUCCGUGAAUCAUCGAAUCUUUAAACACAUAUUGCGCCCUCUGGUAUUCCGAAGAGCAUGCCUGUCCGAGCGUUAUUACUAUCUUCAAGCAAGACUUGGUUGUUGAGCCAAUUGUCCUUUAAUGAACAGACUUAAAAUGCAGUGACGAUGCUGAGUCCUGUUGCCCAAGCAUAUAAAGCUCUGUCACACGCUUUAGUGACCCAGCCGACACUUCGUCAAUUAAACCUUAAAACCUAAGAUUUAACCUCGAAUCAGAUAAGGAUACCCGCUGAACUUAA